This 465-nucleotide ribosomal RNA is filed under the name uncultured bacterium. RNAcentral's name for it is "partial 16S ribosomal RNA". It matches the Rfam family "Bacterial small subunit ribosomal RNA", at positions 338 to 795 of the family's 1533-position model. The record is from RNAcentral.
CCUACGGGUGGCAGCAGUAGGGAAUCUUCCACAAUGGGCGAAAGCCUGAUGGAGCAACGCCGCGUGGGUGAAGAAGGUCUUCGGAUCGUAAAACCCUGUUGUUAGAGAAGAACGUGCGUGAGAGUAACUGUUCACGUUUCGACGGUAUCUAACCAGAAAGCCACGGCUAACUACGUGCCAGCAGCCGCGGUAAUACGUAGGUGGCAAGCGUUAGCCGGAUGUAUUGGGCGUAAAGGGAACGCAGGCGGUCUUUUAAGUCUGAUGUGAAAGCCUUCGGCUUAACCGGAGUAGUGCAUUGGAAACUGGGAGACUGGAGUGCAGGAGAGGAGAGUGGAACUCCAUGGGUAGCGGUGAAAUGCGUAGAUAUAUGGAAGAACACCAGUGGCGAAAGCGGCUCUCUGGUCUGUAACUGACGGUGAGGUUCGAAAGCGUGGGUAGCAAACAGGAUUAGAUACCCGGGUAGUC